AUACACUACUUAGGCUUUUAAGAU
Molecule: non-coding RNA, 24 nt
Filed under: Arabidopsis thaliana (thale cress)
Lineage: Eukaryota; Viridiplantae; Streptophyta; Magnoliopsida; Brassicales; Brassicaceae
Source: RNAcentral